RNAcentral lists this long non-coding RNA (274 nucleotides) under Mustela putorius furo (domestic ferret). Its description in RNAcentral is "lncRNA (ENSMPUG00000029138.1)". Lineage: Eukaryota; Metazoa; Chordata; Mammalia; Carnivora; Mustelidae. The record is from RNAcentral.
CAAACAUACCUGUAGCAUAUUUUUAAAAACAGAAAAUAUCUCCAGGGAAGCAAUCAAUCUACAGCCCUGCUAUAGGAGGAAAGCCAAAGGUCAAGCAUGCAGCCACUGGUGAGACUAGGAGAAAGCCACACUUUCCUAGGUUCAAAUACUAGGAUUUAGAUGACAUCAUCUUGAACUAACUUCUCUAAGCCUAACCUCCUCAUCAUCAAAUAUGGAAAAGAUCUCUCUCUCCUAUGGCUAUCCUAUGGCUCUGUGGUAAAGAUUAAAUGAUGAA